This 811-nucleotide ribosomal RNA is filed under the name uncultured Lachnospiraceae bacterium. RNAcentral's name for it is "bacterial SSU rRNA". It matches the Rfam family "Bacterial small subunit ribosomal RNA", at positions 13 to 827 of the family's 1533-position model. The record is from RNAcentral. Lineage: Bacteria; Bacillati; Bacillota; Clostridia; Lachnospirales; Lachnospiraceae.
UUGAUCAUGGCUCAGAUGACGCUGCGCGUGCCUAACACAUGCAAGUCGAACGAAGCGCCUUUUCACGAUCCCUUCGGGGUGACGAGAUUGUGACUGAGUGGCGGACGGGUGAGUAACGCGUGGGGAACCUGCCCUGUACUGGGGGAUAGCGACUGGAAACGGUCGAUAAUACCGCAUAAGCGCACAGCAUCACAUGAUGCAGUGUGAAAAACUCCGGUGGUACAGGAUGGCCCCGCGUCUGAUUAGUUAGUUGGUGAGGUAAUGGCUCACCAAGACGAAGAUCAGUAGCCGACCUGAGAGGGUGACCGGCCACAUUGGGACUGAGACACGGCCCAGACUCCUACGGGAGGCAGCAGUGGGGAAUAUUGCACAAUGGGCGAAAGCCUGAUGCAGCGACGCCGCGUGAGUGAUGAAGUAUUUCGGUAUGUAAAGCUCUAUCAGCAGGGAAGAAAUUGACGGUACCUGACUAAGAAGCUCCGGCUAAAUACGUGCCAGCAGCCGCGGUAAUACGUAUGGAGCAAGCGUUAUCCGGAUUUACUGGGUGUAAAGGGAGUGUAGGCGGCAUUAUAAGUCUGAUGUGAAAACUCAGGGCUCAACCUUGAGAUUGCAUUGGAAACUGUAAAGCUAGAGUGUCGGAGAGGUAAGCGGAAUUCCUGGUGUAGCAGUGAAAUGCGUAGAUAUCAGGAAGAACAUCGGUGGCGAAGGCGGCUUWCUGGACGAUAACUGACGCUGAGGCUCGAAAGCGUGGGGAGCGAACAGGAUUAGAUWCCCUGGUAGUCCACGCCGUWUUCUUUGUAUAYUAGGUGUUGGG